UACGUAGGGUGCAAGCGUUGUCCGGAUUUAUUGGGCUUAAAGGGUUCGUAGGCGGUCUUUUAAGUCAGCUGUGAAAUCCUCCAGCUUAACUGGAGAACUGCCAUUGAUACUGGAAGACUUGAGUACAGACGAGGUAGGCGGAAUUGACAGUGUAGCGGUGAAAUGCAUAGAUAUUGUCAAGAACACCGAUUGCGAAGGCAGCUUACUAGACUGUAACUGACGCUGAGGCACGAAAGUGUGGGGAUCAAACAGG
RNAcentral lists this ribosomal RNA (253 nucleotides) under uncultured bacterium. RNAcentral's name for it is "partial 16S ribosomal RNA". It matches the Rfam family "Bacterial small subunit ribosomal RNA", at positions 524 to 776 of the family's 1533-position model. The record is from RNAcentral.